GACGAACGCUGGCGGCGUGCUUAACACAUGCAAGUCGAACGGUGAAGCGCCUUCCUUUUUGGUGGGUGUGGAUGAGUGGCGAACGGGUGAGUAACACGUGAGUAACCUGCCCCCUUCUUCUGGAUAACCGCAUGAAAGUGUGGCUAAUACGGGAUAUUCUGGGUCUGUCGCAUGAUGGGUCUGGGAAAGAUAUUGUUUCGGUGGGGGAUGGGCUCGCGGCCUAUCAGCUUGUUGGUGGGGUGAUGGCCUACCAAGGCGGUGACGGGUAGCCGGCCUGAGAGGGUGGACGGUCACACUGGGACUGGGACACGGCCCAGACUCCUACGGGAGGCAGCAGUGGGGAAUAUUGCACAAUGGGCGCAAGCCUGAUGCAGCGACGCCGCGUGAGGGAUGGAGGCCUUCGGGUUGCGAACCUCUUUCGCCAGUGAAGCAGGCCUGCCUCGUUUGUGGGUGGGUUGACGGUAGCUGGAUAAGAAGCGCCGGCUAACUACGUG
Molecule: ribosomal RNA, 494 nt
Filed under: uncultured bacterium
Lineage: Bacteria
Description: partial 16S ribosomal RNA
Rfam family: Bacterial small subunit ribosomal RNA
Source: RNAcentral